GCCCUGAAGAGGUCAUUCAGUCUGGCUCUCAGGGGGAGGGGCCCUGAAGAGGUCAUUCAGUCUGGCUCUCAGUGGGAGGGGCCCUGAAGAGGUCAUUCAGUCUGGC
Molecule: long non-coding RNA, 106 nt
Organism: Oncorhynchus tshawytscha (Chinook salmon)
Lineage: Eukaryota; Metazoa; Chordata; Actinopteri; Salmoniformes; Salmonidae
Exons: 2
Source: RefSeq, a predicted model, not a curated record